This 1598-nucleotide ribosomal RNA is filed under the name Salmonella enterica. RNAcentral's name for it is "partial 23S ribosomal RNA". It matches the Rfam family "Bacterial large subunit ribosomal RNA", at positions 711 to 2290 of the family's 2925-position model. The record is from RNAcentral. RNAcentral also lists the same sequence under 1 other name. Lineage: Bacteria; Pseudomonadati; Pseudomonadota; Gammaproteobacteria; Enterobacterales; Enterobacteriaceae.
AGACCCGAAACCCGGUGAUCUAGCCAUGGGCAGGUUGAAGGUUGGGUAACACUAACUGGAGGACCGAACCGACUAAUGUUGAAAAAUUAGCGGAUGACCUGUGGCUGGGGGUGAAAGGCCAAUCAAACCGGGAGAUAGCUGGUUCUCCCCGAAAGCUAUUUAGGUAGCGCCUCGUGAAUUCAUCUCCGGGGGUAGAGCACUGUUUCGGCUAGGGGGCCAUCCCGGCUUACCAACCCGAUGCAAACUGCGAAUACCGGAGAAUGUUAUCACGGGAGACACACGGCGGGUGCUAACGUCCGUCGUGAAGAGGGAAACAACCCAGACCGCCAGCUAAGGUCCCAAAGUCAUGGUUAAGUGGGAAACGAUGUGGGAAGGCCCAGACAGCCAGGAUGUUGGCUUAGAAGCAGCCAUCAUUUAAAGAAAGCGUAAUAGCUCACUGGUCGAGUCGGCCUGCGCGGAAGAUGUAACGGGGCUAAACCAUGCACCGAAGCUGCGGCAGCGACACUGUGUGUUGUUGGGUAGGGGAGCGUUCUGUAAGCCUGUGAAGGUGUGUCGUGAGGCAUGCUGGAGGUAUCAGAAGUGCGAAUGCUGACAUAAGUAACGAUAAAGCGGGUGAAAAGCCCGCUCGCCGGAAGACCAAGGGUUCCUGUCCAACGUUAAUCGGGGCAGGGUGAGUCGACCCCUAAGGCGAGGCCGAAAGGCGUAGUCGAUGGGAAACGGGUUAAUAUUCCCGUACUUGGUGUUACUGCGAAGGGGGGACGGAGAAGGCUAUGUUGGCCGGGCGACGGUUGUCCCGGUUUAAGUGUGUAGGUGUGUGUUCCAGGUAAAUCCGGUUCACUUUAACACUGAGGCGUGACGACGAGGCACUACGGUGCUGAAGCAACAAAUGCCCUGCUUCCAGGAAAAGCCUCUAAGCAUCAGGUAACAUCAAAUCGUACCCCAAACCGACACAGGUGGUCAGGUAGAGAAUACCAAGGCGCUUGAGAGAACUCGGGUGAAGGAACUAGGCAAAAUGGUGCCGUAACUUCGGGAGAAGGCACGCUGACACGUAGGUGAAGUGAUUUACUCAUGGAGCUGAAGUCAGUCGAAGAUACCAGCUGGCUGCAACUGUUUAUUAAAAACACAGCACUGUGCAAACACGAAAGUGGACGUAUACGGUGUGACGCCUGCCCGGUGCCGGAAGGUUAAUUGAUGGGGUCAGCGCAAGCGAAGCUCCUGAUCGAAGCCCCGGUAAACGGCGGCCGUAACUAUAACGGUCCUAAGGUAGCGAAAUUCCUUGUCGGGUAAGUUCCGACCUGCACGAAUGGCGUAAUGAUGGCCAGGCUGUCUCCACCCGAGACUCAGUGAAAUUGAACUCGCUGUGAAGAUGCAGUGUACCCGCGGCAAGACGGAAAGACCCCGUGAACCUUUACUAUAGCUUGACACUGAACAUUGAGCCUUGAUGUGUAGGAUAGGUGGGAGGCUUUGAAGUGUGGACGCCAGUCUGCAUGGAGCCGACCUUGAAAUACCACCCUUUAAUGUUUGAUGUUCUAACGUGGACCCGUUACCCGGGUUGCGGACAGUGUCUGGUGGGUAGUUUGACUGGGGCGGUCUCCUCC